UACAGAGGGUGCGAGCGUUGUCCGGAAUCACUGGGCGUAAAGGGCGCGUAGGCGGCUUUUCAAGCGUGCGGUGAAAGCUCGGGGCUUAACUCCGAGUCUGCCGUGCGAACUGGGAGGCUUGAGUCUGGUAGAGGUCGAUGGAAUUCCGGGUGUAGCGGUGGAAUGCGUAGAUAUUCGGAGGAACACCAGUGGCGAAGGCGGCUCACUGGCUCGGUACUGACGCUGAGGUGCGAAAGCGUGGGGAGCAAACAGG
This 253-nucleotide ribosomal RNA is filed under the name uncultured bacterium. Its description in RNAcentral is "partial 16S ribosomal RNA". It matches the Rfam family "Bacterial small subunit ribosomal RNA", at positions 524 to 776 of the family's 1533-position model. The record is from RNAcentral.